AAUCCAAUUUUAUAGGCAGUCUCUUUAGCACCUUAUAGAGUUGUAUUCUUGUCCAUUCUGACAGACACGUAGAUAGCAGAUUUGGGUGUGUGUAGGGGGGUAAAACUGUGGCAGGCUUCAUGCAAAGUAGAACAUCACUUUUAAUAAUAAUAAUAAUAAUAAUAAUAAUAAAAGGUACAGAUGAAACAGCAUUAUUGGGAUUUGGUUUCCACCAUGCAAUUUCCUGAAUGUUUUCUCUAGUGUUAAAGCUGCUCUACAAGUUCUCCUCUGCUGCUGGUGGCUUGUCACAGUGUAUCUGCUUCGUUGUGCUGAUGCAGCUGUCUGUGGAAUGUCUUGUAUUUCAGAUUCCUGUAAAUAGUUUUCCGGAGUUUGAAAUGGUAAGCACAUGUUCUGUGAACACAGCCCAGCCGUGA
RNAcentral lists this long non-coding RNA (413 nucleotides) under Dromaius novaehollandiae (emu). RNAcentral describes it as "lncRNA (ENSDNVG00000009120.1)". The record is from RNAcentral. Lineage: Eukaryota; Metazoa; Chordata; Aves; Casuariiformes; Dromaiidae.